CUCCUGCUCCUGCUCCUGCUCCGGUCCUGACUCGUGGCCGUGAACAUGGCAGGACUGCGCAGAGGAAUAGAAGAAGAAAAGGGCGGAGCUCCGGAGCGCUGGAGUUUUUCCGUGCGAUAUUUUUCUGACACUCGGAACCCUGUUUGUUCCACGGAGGUGACGGUUCUCGCCGUACCGUUACUCAUCUACAGACAGGCAGAGAAAAGCCGAGCAGUGAGAUAUUGUCUGUGAGGACGAGCUCGCCUUUCAGACACUCCACACUGACACACUG
Non-coding RNA from Pangasianodon hypophthalmus (striped catfish), 271 nucleotides. NCBI's taxonomy places the organism in Eukaryota, Metazoa, Chordata, Actinopteri, Siluriformes, Pangasiidae. The record is from RefSeq and is a predicted model, not a curated record.